Long non-coding RNA from Bradysia coprophila, 169 nucleotides. Lineage: Eukaryota; Metazoa; Arthropoda; Insecta; Diptera; Sciaridae. The record is from RefSeq and is a predicted model, not a curated record.
CCCGGAUAUGUGAUGAAAUCAGAGAAAUGAUGAGAGAUGGCGUUACUGCCUCAUCACCGGAUAGAAUGCGUAUGAAGACAUUUUUGAAAAAAAUUGAAACCCAUGGUCCCGGCUGUCAAAAAAAUGUGGUUAUGUCAUCAUGUAUGAAAUAAUAAAAAAUAAUUAAUUU